GCCUACGGGGCGCAGCAGUGGGGAAUAUUGCCCAAUGGGCGAAAGCCUGAUGCAGCAACGCCGCGUGAAGGAAGAAGGGUUUCUGCUCGUAAACUUCUAUCAACAGGGACGAAAGAAAUGACGGUACCUGAAUAAGAAGCCCCGGCUAACUACGUGCCAGCAGCCGCGGUAAUACGUAGGGGGCAAGCGUUAUCCGGAAUUACUGGGUGUAAAGGGUGAGUAGGCGGCAUGGUAAGCCAGAUGUGAAAGCCUUGGGCUUAACCCGAGGAUUGCAUUUGGAACUAUCAAGCUAGAGUACAGGAGAG
This 305-nucleotide ribosomal RNA is filed under the name uncultured bacterium. RNAcentral describes it as "bacterial SSU rRNA". It matches the Rfam family "Bacterial small subunit ribosomal RNA", at positions 337 to 656 of the family's 1533-position model. The record is from RNAcentral.